RNAcentral lists this ribosomal RNA (300 nucleotides) under uncultured Lactobacillus sp. Its description in RNAcentral is "bacterial SSU rRNA". The stretch from base 52 to 300 matches the Rfam family "Bacterial small subunit ribosomal RNA", at positions 547 to 795 of the family's 1533-position model. Lineage: Bacteria; Bacillati; Bacillota; Bacilli; Lactobacillales; Lactobacillaceae. The record is from RNAcentral.
GGAAGAGAGUGGCCGAGGGCGGGGGGGAUACGUAGGGGGGAAGUGUGGUCCGGAAUGAGUGGGCGUAAAGCGCGGGCAGGCGGGCCUUUAAGGCUGAUGUGGAAGCCCACGGCUCAACCGGGGAGGGUCAUUGGAAACUGGGGGACUUGAGGGCAGAAGAGGAAAGCGGAAUUCCACGUGUAGCGGUGAAAUGCGUAGAGAUGUGGAGGAACACCAGUGGCGAAGGCGGCUUUCUGGUCUGUAACUGACGCUGAGGCGCGAAAGCGUGGGGAGCAAACAGGAUUAGAUACCCGAGUAGUC